Long non-coding RNA from Ictalurus punctatus (channel catfish), 2619 nucleotides. Lineage: Eukaryota; Metazoa; Chordata; Actinopteri; Siluriformes; Ictaluridae. The record is from Ensembl.
GUAAGAUUGUGAUGAGGUGUGUGGAGGGAACAGAUCUGACAUGUUCAGUCGGUUAAGAUUAAACAGGGUGUAUACUGAGUGCUUAAUGACGUCACGCUUUUUAGCUACUAAUAGUGUUGUUGUUGUUUUGUUUGUUUUUUUAAACGCAUCAUAACGGGCAGUUUAACAGCAGAGUCUGCGAUCACACAGUGUGUACUGCUGGAGCCAUUAUCAACCUUCAUGAACGCGAGAAAGAAAGAAAAAAUAAACACUCCUCAGGCCUACUAAUGAAAUAAUUCAGUAUUCAGUAAUUAAGUGUUAGACCGCGGGCGUAAAUCCGAGCAUCUGAAAGGUGAGUUCCACCUUAAACCGGUGUGUGUGUGUGUGUGUGUGUGUGUGUGUGUGUGUGUGUGUGAGUAGGAGGGGGGAGUAGAACCUGACCUACAGUGACACCGCAAAAUGCAUGCUGGAUUAUUCCUUCGGCUUUAUGCUGAACUACUAAUGAGCACUUCUACUGGAAACACAGUCUCAGACCAAACGCACGGUGCGGGGUUUAUUCGCCGCUCCGAGCGCGCGCGCACGUGAACAUGGAGAGGCGAGGGUAGAGCCGUGACCUGAAACACCAGGACCCCCAGCCAGUCGCCUAGGCGCGCGCACACACACACACACACACACACACACACACACACACACACACACACACACACACACACACACACACACACACACACACACACACACACACACACACACACACACACACACACACACAGAGUGGAGGAGAGAAUGAGCGCUGAGGGAAGGGGACAGAGAGAAUAUGAGUGGGGAAUCAGUGCAGGUGUUAUCUGAUACCCAGGAAGUCAGUGACGACGCUUUGACUUCUUUGUUCAUUUAAAAUCCACAAUUGUGCCUGGGAGAACUCGGGAAUAGUGUGAUCCAGACCAGAUGGACUGGCUGACAGAUCUACAUUCUUCAUGUUGUGCACUGGUGUAAUGCUGACUCCUGUUCUGUGUAUGGCACUGGUAGAAUUCACUGUGAAGGCACACUAUCAGUGAAUUACCAUAGGGCCAUAAACAGAGCAGAGAAAGAACCACUGGAUGAUCCCUGUUGAAAGUUUUCCCCCAGUGGAAACAUAGAGCUCUUCUCAACUAAGCUUAAUGCCUUUAUAUAACUCUCUUAUCCUGGCCCAUUUUGGCACUAGCACAUUUUUGCUUCUUUAUAUAUCCAUCGAGCAAUUAUGUGUAGUGCCAAUAUAGGAAAAGAUAAACUGCAGCAUGAUUUUGUCCUCCAAGGGAGUUCAUUCCCAGUGAACUUGAGCAGGAGACAAAAGGACAGUGACGUGCCUGUAUCCCCCUUCAGCCUUCUUUUAGUUUUAUUUUAUAUUGAGUGUAACAUAAGACAUGACAUCUGCGGAGAUGAACUAACGGCUCGUGCUGCUUAGGUGAAGGUCAGUUUAUUUUCAAUGACUUAUGCAAAAAAAUAAAUAUAGUGGUGUUUACAGUGAAUGAUGUACACUGUGUUAAGGUUCAUAUUUACUGUGAUGAAUUUUCCUUCGUCUGUGCUAUUUAAAACGAUCGUUGGAGACUUCUAUUAGAUGAUCAUCAUAAUGUUGUAUUUUAAACUGCUUCUGUUUACUUUCAAUACAUCUAAUCUCUUGAGGUCAGCCAUGUUUUAGAACAAGUAUCUCAACCGUGUUCUGCGCUUUCGUUUCUGCAUUAAAAUCACCAGGCCUGUAUUCGUUCUCCAAGUUUGUGGACCUGUUUCAUUCAUGUUCUUCAUUUUAAGUGUCCUGGUAUUGUAAAUACGGAUAUCAUUUUCGACAUAGCAUGCUUUUUUAGUAUGGAUGUCAUAUGUUUCUCAGCUUCAAGGUUUUAGGAAGACACGGGUAGCUCUCUGGUGGUAUUUGGCAAUAGUAGAACUCACACUGGUAAUGUAAAAAAAGGAUCCGGUGGUUCUAGACUUGCCAACUACUGCUUUAGUGCUCCAGCAGACUCCCCGGUCUUACCUUAGUGCUCCAGCUAAAUCUGUACUACUGGGUUGGGAAAAGAUGGUGUUUAAUGUCCUGUGUUUUCUGACUGUAUAUGCUAAAUAUCUGGAGGGCGGAGCACUGUGUACAUCUAGAGGGGUUUUUUUUCCUGAGCGAAUGAAAGUGUGGCCUGGACUCAAACCUUCCUCAGUCUCAAAACCCCUGAAGCCUCCCUGAAUAUUUCACUGCACAAAUGGCAGCCCUUAAUAUGGAUCUUCAUAGGUCAUGUAUAAUGAUAUUUGUAUUGUCAGCAUCAUACGUAACAAUACUUGUAUCCUUGCAGUAAUAUUUGUAUUAUAAUUUGUGAUAAUAUGUGUUUUAUUAUAGAAUCAUGACAGAAAUGAUCAUUUUGGACUGAAGAGAUAAGAGUUGUACUGUCUUUGCUUGUGAUAUUCGAUUAUAAAUGCCGCACAUCUGUCUUACGCAUGCAAAAUGACUUGACCAUGUUUUAUUAACAGAAGACAUUUUUGUGAAAUGAAAUGAAAAAUGAGAUUUUAAAAAUACACCAAACAGGCAUUGGUGUUGUGUUAAAGCAGGUGAUGCUUACGGAUGAUAUUGAAGAAUAAACACGUUAUCUCUUAUGUGUUUUACAUGAAUAAAUGUCUACACAAUGA